GGUAGGACUACCCGCUGAACUUAAGCAUAUCAAUAAGCGGAGG
This 43-nucleotide ribosomal RNA is filed under the name Trametes sanguinea. RNAcentral describes it as "partial 28S ribosomal RNA". The record is from RNAcentral. Lineage: Eukaryota; Fungi; Basidiomycota; Agaricomycetes; Polyporales; Polyporaceae.